RNAcentral lists this ribosomal RNA (1399 nucleotides) under Parvicapsula spinachiae. RNAcentral describes it as "SSU rRNA". It matches the Rfam family "Eukaryotic small subunit ribosomal RNA", at positions 386 to 1673 of the family's 1831-position model. Lineage: Eukaryota; Metazoa; Cnidaria; Myxozoa; Bivalvulida; Parvicapsulidae. The record is from RNAcentral.
GAGGGGAGCCUGAGAAACGGCUACCACUUCCAAGGAAGGCAGCAGGCGCGCAAAUUACCCAAUCCAGACAUUGGGAGGUAGCGACGAGAAAUACCAAGGACAGUCUUUUGAUUGUUUAUUGGAAUGGACAUAAUGUAAAUACUUUGAUGAGUAACAACUGGAGGGCAAGUCUGGUGCCAGCAGCCGCGGUAAUUCCAGCUCCAGUAGUGUAUAUCAAAAUUGUUGCGUUUAAAACGCUCGUAGUCGGAUGACAAGUAUGCCCGAUGUUGCCGUUGAGUUUGUCCUGCCCUAAAGCAGGCAUCGAAAGCGGUGAUGUUAUGGUGUACUUUAAUCGCAAACUCCAGUUAUGGGCUUAACUGCUUGUGGCUGGUCGGUUGCGAGGCGUGCCUUGAAUAAAGCAGAGUGCUCAAAGCAAGCGUAACGCUGGUAUGUAAUAGCAUGGAACGAUGAGUAAAGAGUGUCACCUUAGCUGCAUGUACCGGGCAACCGGUAUGUGUGGUUCUAUUCAGUUGGUUGGUGCGGUUGGUGGUCUACUAAUGCACUUGUGUAUUUGUAGAAUGCCGACUAACGCGUAAAAAGUUGGAUUUAUUCAACUUUUGACGCGGUCCUGAAGUGGGUGAUGGUUAAAAGGGACAUUUGAGGGCGUUAGUACUUGCUGGCGAGAGGUGAAAUUCUUAGACCCAGCAAAGACUGACUAAUGCGAAAGCAUUCGCCAAGAGUGUUUUCAUUGAUCAAGAACGAAAGUUGGAGGUUCGAAGACGAUCAGAUACCGUCCUAGUUCCAACAGUAAACGAUGCCAACACGGGAUCAGGUCGAAACAGAUUCAGGUUGGUCCCCCAGUGAAAACUCAAGUCUUCUGGUUAUGGGGAGAGUACGGACGCAAGUUUGAAAUUUAAAAGAAUUGACGGAAUGGCACCACAAGGAGUGGAGCCUGCGGCUUAAUUUGACUCAACACGGGGCAACUUACCAGGUCCGGACAUCGGAAGGAUUGACAGACUGAUAGAUCUUUCAUGAUUUGAUGAUUGGUGGUGCAUGGCCGUUCUUAGUUGGUGGAGUGAUCUGUCAGGUUGAUUCCGGUAACGAGCGAGACCACGGUGUCUAGUUAAUGGCAAUGGCCGUGAAUGCGGUCAUUGAUUGUAGACAGACAACCGGAUUUAAGCCGGGGGAAGCGUGGCAAUAACAGGUCUGUGAUGCCCUUCGAUGUUCUGGGCUGCACGCGCGCUACAAUGGCAACGACAGAAAGCGAAUAAAUGAGUUGCAUCGAGAGAUGUGACGAAUCAGCAAUCGUUGUCGUGAUUGGGAUUGAGCGUUGUAAUAUUUGCUCAUGAAAGAGGAAUUCCUCGUAAGCGCGAGUCACCAACUCGUGUUGAAUACGUCUCUGCCCUUUGUACACACCGCC